CAACAGCAGCACCUCUUCAAGAAGCUGCAGAGUGUGAAGCAACCGGAGAGAAGCAGUGGGGGGCACUGUACUCACCAGGCCCACUUACCUGGGUAUGAGGACCAAGUCUGGACCUGGAGAUGCACAAGGGCAGCAGCUAGGUGGAGGAGAUCUGAGGUAACAGGAUGGCUCUCUGCAAGGAUUCCCAUCAGGAACUUAAGGAUCCAGCAAGGAGAGCUGAAAACUACCUUCUUAGGAGAGGUCCUGGAGGUUUUCUGGAUAUUGGAGGCCCCAAACCCAAUCAGAUUCCAAGUGCCAGACUACUAAAAUGCAGAUGAUGGAGCCUGUCGGUUCCCUGUGCACACCAUGACUUGGAGCCUUCAGCAACUUUUCCAGUGUUCUGCAUAUUAUAAUCGA
Long non-coding RNA from Balaenoptera acutorostrata (minke whale), 396 nucleotides. RefSeq lists it as uncharacterized. NCBI's taxonomy places the organism in Eukaryota, Metazoa, Chordata, Mammalia, Artiodactyla, Balaenopteridae. The transcript is spliced from 4 exons. The record is from RefSeq and is a predicted model, not a curated record.